This 355-nucleotide transfer-messenger RNA is filed under the name chicken gut metagenome. It matches the Rfam family "transfer-messenger RNA". From Rfam's summary of the family: Bacterial tmRNA, also known as 10Sa RNA or SsrA, is named for its dual tRNA and mRNA-like properties. Its role is to liberate the mRNA from a stalled ribosome. The record is from RNAcentral.
GGGGGUGUAUUUGGUUUCGACAAUAUUCUAGAAGUAUAAGUAGCGAAUAGUGGAUUCUCGUUGGCCACUAAAAAAACGAGAAAUAAAAUAUAAACGCUGAUAAUAGAGAAUUAGCAUACGCUGCCUAAGUUGCAGUGUCGUUUUACUAAGAACCCCACAUUCUUAGAUAAAGCGUCGUGUUUGUGGGAAACGAAGUUAUUUACUCGCCUUGGAAAUAAUGGGUAAUAAAAGGCUACUUUCUUUUUAAGUUUGUUUAUUGACGUAAUCAGAAAGGAUUAAAAAAAAUAAACUGUAUUCGGAGAAGCUUAUAUGGAAAGAUUAUUGGACAGGAGUUCGACUCUCCUCACCUCCACCA